GCCAGCAGCCAUAUCACUCUGCAGCUCACAACUGGCAACCCACUGAAGCUCAGCAGUUGUGAGCCUGGUCAGUACCUGGAUGGGAGACCUCCUGGGAAAAACUAAGAUUGCUGCUGGAA
Molecule: ribosomal RNA, 119 nt
Organism: Lepisosteus oculatus (spotted gar)
Lineage: Eukaryota; Metazoa; Chordata; Actinopteri; Semionotiformes; Lepisosteidae
Source: Ensembl